Non-coding RNA from Cinara cedri, 259 nucleotides. NCBI's taxonomy places the organism in Eukaryota, Metazoa, Arthropoda, Insecta, Hemiptera, Aphididae. The record is from the annotation of a GenBank genome assembly.
UUUAUAUUUCAAAACUAUUUAAUACAAGGAAACAUUGAAAAAUAGUGUUCGAAAAGUAAUUAUUAUUGCGCGAUCAUAAUUUAUACAUAUGUUUAAUUCGACCUCGGAUUAUAAUAAUAUAAAGUAGGAAAGUACUCGGCAAGUAUGUCGAAUAGAAGGUCAACAAUAUUAUAACGUUAUAUACGACCAGUACCUACUAAUAUAAUUAUUAUAUUAAAUUAUUAAACGAGUCACAGAAAUGGACCUUAAAAGUCGGGGA